GUCUACAGCCAUGCCACCCUGAACAAACCCAAUCCGUCUGAUUUCGGAAGCCAAGCAGGGUCGGGCCUCAUUAGUGCUUGGAUGGGAGACCACCUAGGAAGACCAAGUGCUAUAGGUG
Molecule: ribosomal RNA, 118 nt
Filed under: Pteropus alecto (black flying fox)
Lineage: Eukaryota; Metazoa; Chordata; Mammalia; Chiroptera; Pteropodidae
Source: RNAcentral